GUGUGAAGAAGGGCUGUGGCGUGGAACCUAAGGCUAUGGGCAUUUGGAUGUGGGGAAGGCUUAUUGAUUAAAAGAUGGAGGCCUUGGGGUGUUAUUUAUAGAGUAGGGAGUGGGCUUCUAGAAUUUGGAGAUGUGAGUUAAGAAAGAAAAGAGUGUGGGCGCAUGAGAGAGAGGCUUGGGCAGCACUAGGGUUUUGUGCGUGAAAGAAAAGGAGCGUAGAGCUUUUUGUUUUGGCAUGUAAGAAAUAAAAGAGAGGGCUAGGUGUAUGUAAGAAAAAAAGAAUGCAAAAGAUAGGGUGCAUGAGAUAUUUAGUAGCAUGGAAAAAUAGAGGAGAGGAGG
Molecule: long non-coding RNA, 339 nt
Filed under: Elaeis guineensis (African oil palm)
Lineage: Eukaryota; Viridiplantae; Streptophyta; Magnoliopsida; Arecales; Arecaceae
Description: long non-coding RNA (EGUI_LNC053948)
Source: RNAcentral